This 64-nucleotide transfer RNA is filed under the name Babras sonorivox. RNAcentral's name for it is "tRNA-Arg". The record is from RNAcentral. Lineage: Eukaryota; Metazoa; Arthropoda; Insecta; Hemiptera; Cicadidae.
GAGCACUGAAGUAAAUAAUUUACAUUUAGUUUCGACCUAAAUUUAGAAAUAUAUUCCUUGCUCA